AGCAGCCGCGGUAAUUCCAGCUCCAAUAGCGUAUAUUAAAGUUGUUGCAGUUAAAAGCUCGUAGUUGAACUUCGGGAUCAAUGGAUUGGUCAUGCCGAUGGUGUGUACUGGUCAUAUUGGUUCUCACCUUCUAAGGAACCAUAAUGUCAUUUAUUUGAUGUUGUGGGGAAUUAGGACUGUUACCUUGAAAAAUUAGAGUGUUUAAAGCAGGCUAACGCUUGAAUACAUUAGCAUGGAAUAAUGAAAUAGGACAUCGCAUUCUAUUUUGUUGGUUUCUAGGAUCGAUGUAAUGAUUAAUAGGGAUAGUUGGGGGCAUUAGUAUUCAAUUGUCAGAGGUGAAAUUCUUGGAUUUAUUGAAGACUAACUACUGCGAAAGCAUUUGCCAAGGAUGUUUUCAUUAAUCAAGAACGAAAGUUAGGGGAUCGAAGACGAUCAGAUACCGUCGUAGUCUUAACCAUAAACUAUGCCGACUAGGGAUCGGAUGAUGUUGAUUUUU
RNAcentral lists this ribosomal RNA (496 nucleotides) under uncultured Glomus. RNAcentral's name for it is "SSU rRNA". It matches the Rfam family "Eukaryotic small subunit ribosomal RNA", at positions 569 to 1071 of the family's 1831-position model. Lineage: Eukaryota; Fungi; Glomeromycota; Glomeromycetes; Glomerales; Glomeraceae. The record is from RNAcentral.